Molecule: ribosomal RNA, 465 nt
Filed under: uncultured bacterium
Lineage: Bacteria
Description: partial 16S ribosomal RNA
Rfam family: Bacterial small subunit ribosomal RNA
Source: RNAcentral
CCUACGGGAGGCAGCAGUGGGGAAUAUUGCGCAAUGGGCGAAAGCCUGACGCAGCGAUGCCGCGUGAGGGCUGAAGGUCUUCGGAUCGUAAACUUCUGUCAGCAGGGAAGAACGGUCACUGUGCUAAUCAGCAGUGAAUUGACGGUACCUGCAAAGGAAGCACCGGCUAACUCCGUGCCAGCAGCCGCGGUAAUACGGAGGGUGCGAGCGUUAAUCGGAAUUACUGGGCGUAAAGCGCUCGUAGGCGGUAUGUCAAGUCAAGGGUGAAAUCCCCGGGCUCAACGUGGGAACUGCCUUUGAAACUGGCAAACUAGAGUGUGGGAGAGGAUAGUGGAAUUCCAGGUGUAGGGGUGAAAUGCGUAGAUAUCUGGAGGAACAUCAGUGGCGAAGGCGACUAUCUGGCACAUGACUGACGCUGAGGAGCGAAAGCGUGGGUAGCAAACAGGAUUAGAUACCCUUGUAGUC